ACGGAAGGCAGCAGUGGGGAAUAUUGGGCAAUGGGCGAAAGCCUGACCCAGCAACGUCGCGUGAAGGAAGAAGGCCUUCGGGUUGUAAACUUCUUUUAUCAGGGACGAAGAACGUGACGGUACCUGAUGAAUAAGCCACGGCUAACUACGUGCCAGCAGCCGCGGUAAUACGUAGGUGGCAAGCGUUAUCCGGAUUUACUGGGUGUAAAGGGCGCGUAGGCGGGGAUGCAAGUCAGGUGUGAAAUCUAUGGGCUUAACCCAUAAACUGCAUUUGAAACUGUAUCUCUUGAGUGUCGGAGAGGUAGAUGGAAUUCCUAGUGUAGCGGUGAAAUGCGUAGAUAUUAGGAGGAACACCAGUGGCGAAGGCGAUCUACUGGACGAUAACUGACGCUGAGGCGCGAAAGCGCGGGUAGCAAACAGGAUUAGAUACCCUGGUA
This 437-nucleotide ribosomal RNA is filed under the name uncultured Clostridium sp. RNAcentral's name for it is "partial 16S ribosomal RNA". It matches the Rfam family "Bacterial small subunit ribosomal RNA", at positions 341 to 792 of the family's 1533-position model. Lineage: Bacteria; Bacillati; Bacillota; Clostridia; Eubacteriales; Clostridiaceae. The record is from RNAcentral.